AUUGAACGCUGGCGGAAUGCUUUACACAUGCAAGUCGAACGGCAGCACGGACUUCGGUCUGGUGGCGAGUGGCGAACGGGUGAGUAAUACAUCGGAACGUGCCCAGUCGUGGGGGAUAACGUAGCGAAAGCUACGCUAAUACCGCAUACGAUCUAAGGAUGAAAGCGGGGGAUCGCAAGACCUCGCGCGAUUGGAGCGGCCGAUGGCAGAUUAGGUAGUUGGUAGGGUAAAGGCCUACCAAGCCGACGAUCUGUAGCUGGUCUGAGAGGAUGAUCAGCCACACUGGGACUGAGACACGGCCCAGCCUCCUACGGGAGGCAGCAGUGGGGAAUUUUGGACAAUGGGCGCAAGCCUGAUCCAGCCAUUCCGCGUGCAGGAUGAAGGCCUUCGGGUUGUAAACUGCUUUUGUACAGAACGAAAAGGCUCUGGUUAAUACCCGGGGCUCAUGACAGUACUGUAAGAAUAAGCACCGGCUAACUACGUGCCAGCCGCCGCAGUAA
This 500-nucleotide ribosomal RNA is filed under the name uncultured bacterium. Its description in RNAcentral is "partial 16S ribosomal RNA". It matches the Rfam family "Bacterial small subunit ribosomal RNA", at positions 30 to 523 of the family's 1533-position model. The record is from RNAcentral.